AUAUUGCACAAUGGGGGAAACCCUGAUGCAGCGACGCCGCGUGAGCGAUGAAGUAUUUCGGUAUGUAAAGCUCUAUGAGCAGGGAAGAAAAUGACGGUACCUGACUAAGAAGCCCCGGCUAACUACGUGCCAGCAGCCGCGGUAAUACGUAGGGGGCAAGCGUUAUCCGUAUUUACUGGGUGUAAAGGGAGCGUAGACGGCGUGGCAAGCCAGAUGUGAAAGCCCGGGGCUCAACCCCGGGACUGCAUUUGGAACUGUCAGGCUAGAGUGUCGGAGAGGAAAGUGGAAUUCCUAGUGUAGCGGUGAAAUGCGUAGAUAUUAGGAGGAACACCAGUGGCGAAGGUGGCUUUCUGGACGAUGACUGACGUUGAGGCUCGAAAGCGUGGGGAGCAAACAGG
RNAcentral lists this ribosomal RNA (398 nucleotides) under uncultured bacterium. RNAcentral describes it as "bacterial SSU rRNA". It matches the Rfam family "Bacterial small subunit ribosomal RNA", at positions 361 to 776 of the family's 1533-position model. The record is from RNAcentral.